Molecule: ribosomal RNA, 465 nt
Filed under: uncultured bacterium
Lineage: Bacteria
Description: partial 16S ribosomal RNA
Rfam family: Bacterial small subunit ribosomal RNA
Source: RNAcentral
CCUACGGGGGGCAGCAGUGGGGAAUAUUGCGCAAUGGGCGAAAGCCUGACGCAGCGACGCCGCGUGAGUGAUGAAGGUCUUCGGAUCAUAAACCUCUGUCAGCAGGGAAGAACGGUCACUGUGCUAAUCAGCAGUGAAUUGACGGUACCUGCAAAGGAAGCACCGGCUAACUCCGUGCCAGCAGCCGCGGUAAUACGGAGGGUGCGAGCGUUCAUCGGAAUUACUGGGCGUAAAGCGCUCGUAGGCGGGAUGUCAAGUCAAGUGUGAAAUCCCCGGGCUCAACGUGGGCACUGCCUUGGAAACUGGCAAACUGGAGUGUGUGAGAGGAUAGUGGAAUUCCAGGUGUAGGAGUGAAAUGCGUAGAUAUCUGGAGGAACAUCAGUGGCGAAGGCGACUAUCUGGAACAUAACUGACGCUGAGGAGCGAAAGCGUGGGUAGCAAACAGGAUUAGAUACCCCUGUAGUC